This 495-nucleotide ribosomal RNA is filed under the name uncultured bacterium. RNAcentral describes it as "partial 16S ribosomal RNA". It matches the Rfam family "Bacterial small subunit ribosomal RNA", at positions 28 to 507 of the family's 1533-position model. The record is from RNAcentral.
GACGAACGCUGGCGGCGUGCCUAAUACAUGCAAGUAGAACGCUGAAGGAGGAGCUUGCUCUUCUGGAUGAGUUGCGAACGGGUGAGUAACGCGUAGGUAACCUGCCUGGUAGCGGGGGAUAACUAUUGGAAACGAUAGCUAAUACCGCAUAAUAGUAGAUGUUGCAUGAUAUUUACUUAAAAGGUGCAAUUGCACCACUACCAGAUGGACCUGCGUUGUAUUAGCUAGUUGGUGGGGUAACGGCUCACCAAGGCGACGAUACAUAGCCGACCUGAGAGGGUGAUCGGCCACACUGGGACUGAGACACGGCCCAGACUCCUACGGGAGGCAGCAGUAGGGAAUCUUCGGCAAUGGACGAAAGUCUGACCGAGCAACGCCGCGUGAGUGAAGAAGGGUGUCGGAUCGUAAAGCUCUGUUGUAAGAGAAGAACGAGUGUGAGAGUGGAAAGUUCACACUGUGACGGUAUCUUACCAGAAAGGGACGGCUAACUACGUG